This 274-nucleotide ribosomal RNA is filed under the name uncultured bacterium. Its description in RNAcentral is "partial 16S ribosomal RNA". It matches the Rfam family "Bacterial small subunit ribosomal RNA", at positions 523 to 796 of the family's 1533-position model. The record is from RNAcentral.
AUACGGAGGGGGCUAGCGUUGUUCGGAAUUACUGGGCGUAAAGCGCACGUAGGCGGAUUAAAAAGUUAGAGGUGAAAUCCCAGGGCUUAACCCUGGAACUGCCUUUAAAACUAGUAGUCUAGAGUUCGAGAGAGGUGAGUGGAAUUCCAAGUGCAGAGGUGAAAUUCGUAGAUAUUUGGAGGAACACCAGUGGCGAAGGCGGCUCACUGGCUCGAUACUGACGCUGAGGUGCGAAAGCGUGGGGAGCAAACAGAAUUAGAAACCCCGGUAGUCC